CCUACGGGAGGCUGCAGUGAGGAAUAUUGGUCAAUGGACGAGAGUCUGAACCAGCCAAGUAGCGUGAAGGAUGACUGCCCUAUGGGUUGUAAACUUCUUUUAUAUGGGAAUAAAAUGUUCCACGUGUGGGAUUUUGUAUGUACCAUAUGAAUAAGGAUCGGCUAACUCCGUGCCAGCAGCCGCGGUAAUACGGAGGAUCCGAGCGUUAUCCGGAUUUAUUGGGUUUAAAGGGAGCGUAGGUGGAUUGUUAAGUCAGUUGUGAAAGUUUGCGGCUCAACCGUAGAAUUGCAGUUGAAACUGGCAGUCUUGAGUACAGUAGAGGUGGGCGGAAUUCGUGGUGUAGCGGUGAAAUGCUUAGAUAUCACGAAGAACUCCGAUUGCGAAGGCAGUUCACUGGACUGCAACUGACACUGAGGCUCGAAAGUGUGGGUAUCAAACAGGAUUAGAUACCCUUGUAGUC
This 460-nucleotide ribosomal RNA is filed under the name uncultured bacterium. Its description in RNAcentral is "partial 16S ribosomal RNA". It matches the Rfam family "Bacterial small subunit ribosomal RNA", at positions 338 to 795 of the family's 1533-position model. The record is from RNAcentral.